AACGAACGCUGGCGGCAGGCUUAACACAUGCAAGUCGAGCGCCCCGCAAGGGGAGCGGCAGACGGGUGAGUAACGCGUGGGAAUCUACCCAGCUCUACGGAAUAACUCAGGGAAACUUGUGCUAAUACCGUAUACGUCCGAUAGGAGAAAAGAUUUAUCGGAGUUGGAUGAGCCCGCGUUGGAUUAGCUAGUUGGUGGGGUAAUGGCCUACCAAGGCGACGAUCCAUAGCUGGUCUGAGAGGAUGAUCAGCCACACUGGGACUGAGACACGGCCCAGACUCCUACGGGAGCAGCAGUGGGGGAAUAUUGGACAAUGGGCGAAAGCCUGAUCCAGCCAUGCCGCGUGAGUGAUGAAGGCCCUAGGGUUGUAAAGCUCUUUCAACGGUGAAGAUAAUGACGGUAACCGUAGAAGAAGCCCCGGCUAACUUCGUG
This 432-nucleotide ribosomal RNA is filed under the name uncultured bacterium. Its description in RNAcentral is "bacterial SSU rRNA". It matches the Rfam family "Bacterial small subunit ribosomal RNA", at positions 29 to 507 of the family's 1533-position model. The record is from RNAcentral.